GACGAACGCUGGCGGCGUGCUUAACACAUGCAAGUCGAACGGAAAGGCCCUGCUUUUGUGGGGUGCUCGAGUGGCGAACGGGUGAGUAACACGUGAGUAACCUGCCCUUGACUUUGGGAUAACUUCAGGAAACUGGGGCUAAUACCGGAUAGGAGCUCCUGCUGCAUGGUGGGGGUUGGAAAGUUUCGGCGGUUGGGGAUGGACUCGCGGCUUAUCAGCUUGUUGGUGGGGUAGUGGCUUACCAAGGCUUUGACGGGUAGCCGGCCUGAGAGGGUGACCGGCCACAUUGGGACUGAGAUACGUCCCAGACUCCUACGGGAGGCAGCAGUGGGGAAUAUUGCACAAUGGGCGGAAGCCUGAUGCAGCAACGCCGCGUGCGGGAUGACGGCCUUCGGGUUGUAAACCGCUUUCACCUGUGACGAAGCGUGAGUGACGGUAAUGGGUAAAGAAGCACCGGCUAACUACGUG
This 468-nucleotide ribosomal RNA is filed under the name uncultured bacterium. RNAcentral describes it as "partial 16S ribosomal RNA". It matches the Rfam family "Bacterial small subunit ribosomal RNA", at positions 28 to 507 of the family's 1533-position model. The record is from RNAcentral.